Benincasa hispida (wax gourd) is the source of this 108-nucleotide small nuclear RNA. Lineage: Eukaryota; Viridiplantae; Streptophyta; Magnoliopsida; Cucurbitales; Cucurbitaceae. The record is from RefSeq and is a predicted model, not a curated record.
GUUGCUGGUUCGGGGACAUCUGAUAAAAUUGUAAUGACACAAAGAAGAUUAGCAUGACCCUUAUGCAAGGAUGGCAAAAAAAAAAAUCAAGAAAUGGUCAAAAUGUUU